GGGAUUGCCUCAGUAACGGCGAGUGAAGCGGCAAAAGCUCAAAUUUUAAAUCUGGUGCUCCACAGUACCCGAGUUGUAAUUUGGAGAGGCAACUUCCGACAGAGCUUCAACCUAUGUUCUUUGGAACAAGACGUCACAGAGGGUGAGAAUCCCGUGCAUGGUUGAAGAUUGCUGUUGUAUGUGAAGUGCUUUCAACGAGUCGAGUUGUUUGGGAAUGCAGCUCAAAAUUGGGUGGUAAAUUUCAUCUAAAGCUAAAUAUUGGCGAGAGACCGAUAGCGCACAAGUAGAGUGAUCGAAAGAUGAAAAGCACUUUGAAAAGAGAGUCAAACAGUACGUGAAAUUGUUGAAAGGGAAGCGCUUGUAAUCAGAUCUGGUCGAGAAUGAUCAACCUUUCAUUUUGAGGGGUGCACUCGUUCUUGGAUCAGGCCAACGUCGGUUAACCUUUUGGGUAAAUGGUUGAGGGAAUGUGGCACUCUUAGGGGUGAGCUUAUAGCCUUUGACUAUACCAUGCAGGUUGACCGAGGAACCGCGCCUUCGGGGCUAGGACGUUGGCUUAAU
Molecule: ribosomal RNA, 558 nt
Filed under: Caloscypha fulgens
Lineage: Eukaryota; Fungi; Ascomycota; Pezizomycetes; Pezizales; Caloscyphaceae
Description: eukaryotic LSU rRNA
Rfam family: Eukaryotic large subunit ribosomal RNA
Source: RNAcentral